UUCCAGACUCCUACGGGAGGCAGCAGUGGGGAAUACUGCACAAUGGGGGAAACCCUGAUGCAGCGACGCCGCGUGAGCGAUGAAGUAUUUCGGUAUGUAAAGCUCUAUCAGCAGGGAAGAAAAUGACGGUACCUGACUAAGAAGCCCCGGCUAACUACGUGCCAGCAGCCGCGGUAAUACGUAGGGGGCAAGCGUUAUCCGGAUUUACUGGGUGUAAAGGGAGCGUAGACGGCAAUACAAGUCGGAAGUGAAAUACCCGGGCUCAACCUGGGAACUGCUUUGGAAACUGUAUGGCUAGAGUGCUGGAGAGGUAAGCGGAAUUCCUAGUGUAGCGGUGAAAUGCGUAGAUAUUAGGAGGAACACCGGCGGCGAAGGCGGCCUGCUGGACCGCGACUGACGUUGAGGCUCGAAAGCGUGGGGAGCGAACAGGAUUAGAUACCCGGGUAAU
Molecule: ribosomal RNA, 448 nt
Filed under: uncultured bacterium
Lineage: Bacteria
Description: bacterial SSU rRNA
Rfam family: Bacterial small subunit ribosomal RNA
Source: RNAcentral